RNAcentral lists this ribosomal RNA (679 nucleotides) under uncultured bacterium. Its description in RNAcentral is "bacterial SSU rRNA". It matches the Rfam family "Bacterial small subunit ribosomal RNA", at positions 9 to 671 of the family's 1533-position model. The record is from RNAcentral.
GAGUUUGAUCCUGGCUCAGGAUGAACGCUAGCGACAGGCCUAACACAUGCAAGUCGAGGGGCAGCGGGGGAGGAAGCUUGCUUUCUCCUGCCGGCGACCGGCGCACGGGUGAGUAACACGUAUGCAACCUGGCCGUCACAGGUGGAUAACCGGAAGAAAUUCCGACUAAUACAGCAUAACACUCCUGAGGGACAUCCUUCGGGAGUCAAAGGAGGCGACUCCGGUGACGGAUGGGCAUGCGGCGCAUUAGGUAGUUGGUAGGGUAACGGCCUACCAAGCCGACGAUGCGUAGGGGUUCUGAGAGGAAGGUCCCCCACAUUGGAACUGAGACACGGUCCAAACUCCUACGGGAGGCAGCAGUGAGGAAUAUUGGUCAAUGGCCGGAAGGCUGAACCAGCCAAGUCGCGUGAGGGAAUAAGGCCCUAUGGGUCGUAAACCUCUUUUGUCAGGGAGCAAAGGCGUCCACGAGUGGACGAAAGGAGAGUACCUGAAGAAAAAGCAUCGGCUAACUCCGUGCCAGCAGCCGCGGUAAUACGGAGGAUGCGAGCGUUAUCCGGAUUUAUUGGGUUUAAAGGGUGCGUAGGCGGAGUGUCAAGUCAGCGGUAAAAUUUCGGGGCUCAACCCCGUCGUGCCGUUGAAACUGACGCCCUUGAGUGAGUGAGAAGUAAGCGGAAUGCGU